AGUGAACGCUGGCGGUAGGCCUAACACAUGCAAGUCGAACGGCAGCACAGUAAGAGCUUGCUCUUACGGGUGGCGAGUGGCGGACGGGUGAGGAAUACAUCGGAAUCUACUUUUUCGUGGGGGAUAACGUAGGGAAACUUACGCUAAUACCGCAUACGACCUACGGGUGAAAGCAGGGGAUCUUCGGACCUUGCGCGAUUGAAUGAGCCGAUGUCGGAUUAGCUAGUUGGCGGGGUAAAGGCCCACCAAGGCGACGAUCCGUAGCUGGUCUGAGAGGAUGAUCCGCCACACUGGAAUUAAGCCGCGGUCCAAUCUCCUACGGGGGGCGGCGGUGGGAAAUAUUGGACUGAGGGCGCAACCCCGAUCAAGGCUUACCGCGGAGGUGAGAAGGGCCUUGGGGUUGUAAAACCCUUUUUUGGGGAAAAAAAAGAGACGGGUUAAAUCCCCACUGUUCUGACGGAACCCAAAGAAUAAACACCGGCUACCUUCGU
RNAcentral lists this ribosomal RNA (491 nucleotides) under uncultured bacterium. RNAcentral describes it as "partial 16S ribosomal RNA". It matches the Rfam family "Bacterial small subunit ribosomal RNA", at positions 29 to 506 of the family's 1533-position model. The record is from RNAcentral.